AUGAAUAUAUUUGUGUUUCCAACCUCCAAUUUGCAUGAACACCUUGGUGUUGAUGUUUUGAUGUUUGUCGCUUAUCUGCGGGAGUGCGGCCUAGGUGCUUGUGAUAUUGCCAAGCUAUGCAGCAGGCAACCAUGGCUUCUCACCGCCAACCUGGGGCGUGUCCAGGCGAUGGUGGAAUGCGCUGAAAACAUAGGUGUGCCCCGUGCCUCUGGGAUGUUCAGGCACGCGCUGCACGCUGUUGCAUUUCUCAGCGAGGACAAGAUCGCAGCCAGGGUGAACUACUUGAAGAACACCUUCAGGUGGACGGAUGCUGAGGUAGGCAUGGCUGUUUCUAAGGCUCCAUCGGUGCUGGCGAGGUCCAAGGAGUCGCUGCAGCGCAGGUCUGAGUUCCUCAUCUCCGAGGUGGGCUUGGAACCGCUGUACAUUGCUCAACGGUCGGAAAUAAUCGGUCACAGCCUAGAGGGCCGGCUCAGGCCCAGGUACUAUGCUGUGAAGUUUCUCAAGGAAAAUGGAUUGCUCAAGCGUGACCCAAGCUACAGUACCGUUUUCAAGAUUAGUGAGAAGGCAUUCAGGAAGAAGUUCAUAUUCCCUCACAAGGAGGCUGCACUGCACCUGGCAGAAGACUAUGAUGCCGCUUGCAAGGGGGAUGUGCCGACUAAUUUCAGAUUCACAUAA
RNAcentral lists this ribosomal RNA (675 nucleotides) under Triticum aestivum (bread wheat). RNAcentral describes it as "partial small subunit ribosomal RNA". Lineage: Eukaryota; Viridiplantae; Streptophyta; Magnoliopsida; Poales; Poaceae. The record is from RNAcentral.